GGGGAUAUAGCUCAGCGGCAUAAGCGCCUGCCUUGCAAGCAGGCAGUCGUGAGUUCGAUCCCCGGUACCGUUA
Molecule: transfer RNA, 73 nt
Filed under: Cavia porcellus (domestic guinea pig)
Lineage: Eukaryota; Metazoa; Chordata; Mammalia; Rodentia; Caviidae
Rfam family: tRNA
About the family: Transfer RNA (tRNA) molecules are approximately 80 nucleotides in length.
Source: Rfam by way of RNAcentral